ACGUAGGAGGCGAGCGUUAUCCGGAUUCACUGGGCGUAAAGCGCGUGCAGGCGGUUCGGUAAGUUGGGCGUGAAAUCUCCCGGCUCAACUGGGGGAGGUCGUUCAAUACUACCGGACUUGAGAGCGAUAGAGGAAAAUGGAAUUCCCGGUGGAGUGGUGAAAUGCGUAGAUAUCCGGAGGAACGCCAGAGGCGAAGGCGACUCCCUGGGCCGUACCUGACGCUAAGACGCGAGAGCGUGGGGAGCGAACGG
This 251-nucleotide ribosomal RNA is filed under the name uncultured prokaryote. Its description in RNAcentral is "partial 16S ribosomal RNA". It matches the Rfam family "Bacterial small subunit ribosomal RNA", at positions 525 to 775 of the family's 1533-position model. The record is from RNAcentral.